RNAcentral lists this ribosomal RNA (450 nucleotides) under uncultured bacterium. RNAcentral describes it as "partial 16S ribosomal RNA". It matches the Rfam family "Bacterial small subunit ribosomal RNA", at positions 354 to 796 of the family's 1533-position model. The record is from RNAcentral.
GUGGGGAAUUUUGGACAAUGGGCGCAAGCCUGAUCCAGCAAUGCCGCGUGCAGGAGGAAGGCCUUCGGGUUGUAAACUGCUUUUGUACGGAACGAAACGGUCCGGGUUAAUACCCUGGGCUAAUGACGGUACCGUAAGAAUAAGCACCGGCUAACUACGUGCCAGCAGCCGCGGUAAUACGUAGGGUGCGAGCGUUAAUCGGAAUUACUGGGCGUAAAGCGUGCGCAGGCGGCUUUGCAAGACAGAUGUGAAAUCCCCGGGCUCAACCUGGGAACUGCAUUUGUGACUGCAAGGCUAGAGUACGGCAGAGGGGGAUGGAAUUCCGCGUGUAGCAGUGAAAUGCGUAGAUAUGCGGAGGAACACCAAUGGCGAAGGCAAUCCCCUGGGCCUGUACUGACGCUCAUGCACGAAAGCGUGGGGAGCAAACAGGAUUAGAAACCCGAGUAGUCC